GCAACUGCAGUUUCUUCCUACCAACUUCGAACGGAGAAGAAAGCAAAAAGGGGGAGAAAAAAAGUUGCAGACUUUCAAUCAGUCCACCAGCAACUCCAAAUUCUUCCAAUCCAAAUCCAUUUCCACCCACCAAAAAUUUCUCAUUCGCUGGUAUGCUCCCCCCACACACUUAAAUAAUUAUGCGCCUUUGAUUCUUCGGGAUUUUAUUCCACCCAAAAAAAAAAUCAAGUUGUUUGUAAGCUCUCGCCACUGUCCGAUCAUGGCUUGUUUCCCAGCAUUUCCUUCUCCAUUCAUGUCCAAUCUUCUUAUCGUAAGUAUUUUGUAUGCUUAGGGUUUCUGGGCUUCCGGUUUUUUUUUCAUUUCUUAAUCCCGUCGUUUCAUACUGUUCGUCCGUAUUUAGGGUUUUGAAAAAUUGAUCAGAUCUUCUGAUGAUAUGUA
RNAcentral lists this long non-coding RNA (438 nucleotides) under Linum usitatissimum (flax). RNAcentral's name for it is "long non-coding RNA (LUSI_LNC003042)". Lineage: Eukaryota; Viridiplantae; Streptophyta; Magnoliopsida; Malpighiales; Linaceae. The record is from RNAcentral.